AGUGAACGCUGGCGGUAGGCCUAACACAUGCAAGUCGAACGGCAGCACAGUAAGAGCUUGCUCUUACGGGUGGCGAGUGGCGGACGGGUGCGGAAUACAUCGGAAUCUACUUUUUCGUGGGGGAUAACGUAGGGAAACUUACGCUAAUACCGCAUACGACCUACGGGUGAAAGCAGGGGAUCUUCGGACCUUGCGCGAUUGAAUGAGCCGAUGUCGGAUUAGCUAGUUGGCGGGGUAAAGGCCCACCAAGGCGACGAUCCGUAGCUGGUCUGAGAGGAUGAUCAGCCACACUGGAACUGAGACACGGUCCAGACUCCUACGGGAGGCAGCAGUGGGGAAUAUUGGACAAUGGGCGCAAGCCUGAUCCAGCCAUACCGCGUGGGUGAAGAAGGCCUUCGGGUUGUAGAGCCCUUUUGUUGGGAAAGAAAAGCAGCAGGUUAAUACCCCGCUGUUCUGACGGUACCCAAAGAAUAAGCACCGGCUAACUUCGUG
This 492-nucleotide ribosomal RNA is filed under the name uncultured bacterium. RNAcentral's name for it is "partial 16S ribosomal RNA". It matches the Rfam family "Bacterial small subunit ribosomal RNA", at positions 29 to 507 of the family's 1533-position model. The record is from RNAcentral.